Molecule: small RNA, 521 nt
Filed under: Oryza sativa Japonica Group (Japanese rice)
Lineage: Eukaryota; Viridiplantae; Streptophyta; Magnoliopsida; Poales; Poaceae
Description: sRNA Os11g0527250
Source: RNAcentral
UCCACUUCGUCGCUUCGCCCCACCCUGACUCCGCUCCAGAUCUCCCCGUCGCGCUCCGCUCCGCCUCCUCCGCGUCGCCGUCGUCUUCCUCCUCUCCAGCCGAUGCCUCCUCCCAAACCCUAGCCACCUCGCAAAACCCUAGAUCCCCUCCCCCCCGCCCCACCACGCCGCCAUGGAUCCCUCCGGAUCCGGCCCUCGCCAUGACCGCCUCCUCAUCUCCCCGUCGCUCUCCUCCCCGUCUGUAGAGAUGGUCGCGAUUCCUCCGAUCGCACGAGGGUAGGGGGAAGAGGCGAGCGCUGCCAGGGGAAAGGGGACGGUGAAGAGGACUGCUCAGCGGACUCCAUUUGUUAAUCCGAUCUCUAAUUUGAAAGAACUGUAUCUUUUCCGAUUACCGGUUUUCUGUUCCAGGUGCAAUUCUAAUUUGUUUUAUCUGAAUUAUCACAUGGAAUCGAUUCCUUAAUGAACUUUCCAACUGAAACUAACUGCUGCUCUGAGCAAUCAAUAAUUUAGUUACUACUACC